GGGCCGCUAGCUCAACGGUAGAGCAGAGGACUUUUAAUCCUUUGGUUCCGGGUUCGAAUCCCGGGCGGCUCA
This 72-nucleotide transfer RNA is filed under the name Chloroflexota bacterium. RNAcentral describes it as "tRNA-Lys". It matches the Rfam family "tRNA". Rfam says of the family: Transfer RNA (tRNA) molecules are approximately 80 nucleotides in length. Lineage: Bacteria; Bacillati; Chloroflexota. The record is from RNAcentral. RNAcentral also lists the same sequence under 3 other names.